GACGAACGCUGGCGGCGUGCUUAACACAUGCAAGUCGAACGGAAAGGCCCUGCUUUUGUGGGGUGCUCGAGUGGCGAACGGGUGAGUAACACGUGAGUAACCUGCCCUUGACUUUGGGAUAACUUCAGGAAACUGGGGCUAAUACCGGAUAGGAGCUCCUGCUGCAUGGGGGGGGUUGGAAAGUUUCGGCGGUUGGGGAUGGACUCGCGGCUUAUCAGCUUGUUGGUGGGGUAGUGGCUUACCAAGGCUUUGACGGGUAGCCGGCCUGGGAGGGUGACCGGCGACAUUGGGACUGAGAUACGGCCCAGACUCCUACGGGAGGCAGCAGUGGGGAAUAUUGCACAAUGGGCGGAAGCCUGAUGCAGCAACGCCGCGUGCGGGAUGACGGCCUUCGUGUUGUAAACCGCUUUCGCCUGUGACGAAGCGUGAGUGACGGUAAUGGGUAAAGAAGCACCGGCUAACUACGUG
RNAcentral lists this ribosomal RNA (468 nucleotides) under uncultured bacterium. RNAcentral's name for it is "partial 16S ribosomal RNA". It matches the Rfam family "Bacterial small subunit ribosomal RNA", at positions 28 to 507 of the family's 1533-position model. The record is from RNAcentral.